This 631-nucleotide ribosomal RNA is filed under the name Desmodesmus bicellularis. RNAcentral describes it as "eukaryotic LSU rRNA". The stretch from base 181 to 334 matches the Rfam family "5.8S ribosomal RNA". Lineage: Eukaryota; Viridiplantae; Chlorophyta; Chlorophyceae; Sphaeropleales; Scenedesmaceae. The record is from RNAcentral.
AGGUGAACCUGCGGAAGGAUCAUGAUAUGCAACCACAACACGCACUCUCUACUUGUGUACCGACGUUAGGUCAACCACGCAAGUGGGUGGCCUACUUAACCUACACACCAUUGAACAACCAAUGAUAAAACCAAACUCUGAAGCUUUGGCUGCCGUUAACCGGCAGUUCUAACCAAGAACAACUCUCAACAACGGAUAUCUUGGCUCUCGCAACGAUGAAGAACGCAGCGAAAUGCGAUACGUAGUGUGAAUUGCAGAAUUCCGUGAACCAUCGAAUCUUUGAACGCAUAUUGCGCUCGACACCUCGGUGAAGAGCAUGUCUGCCUCAGCGUCGGUUUACACCCUCACCCCUCCUACUCUCCUUGAGUGGGCUUGUUGUGCUUGCUCAAGCCAACAUCAGGGGUGGAUCUGGCCCUCCCAAUCAGUGCUCGCACCGGUUGGGUUGGCUGAAGCACAGAGGCUUAAACUGGGACCCAAUUCGGGCUCAACUGGAUAGGUAGCAACACCCUCGGGUGCCUACACGAAGUUGUGUCUGAGGACCUGGUUAGGAGCCAAGCAGGAAACGUGCCUUUGGCACGUACUCUGUAUUCGACCUGAGCUCAGGCAAGGCUACCCGCUGAACUUAAGCAUA